Long non-coding RNA from Telopea speciosissima, 189 nucleotides. RefSeq lists it as uncharacterized. The transcript has 2 exons. The record is from RefSeq and is a predicted model, not a curated record. NCBI's taxonomy places the organism in Eukaryota, Viridiplantae, Streptophyta, Magnoliopsida, Proteales, Proteaceae.
UUAUUGGAUUGAGGUGAUGAUGUAAAAGCAACAGUAGUAAAACACUUGAUCUUUUGGCCCCGACCAUUUUAACACAACAAUGGUGAGCAUGAGAGGCCUAAGUGAGCAAGAAAGUGGUAACAUGUUGACAUUAGGUCCCCCUGACUCUAAUGAUCCUGCACAGUCAAGGUCCUCAAGUGUGCUCUCCAA